AUUUAGAUUUAAAGUUAGGUAAUCAUGGUGUAAAUCCAUGACUGUGCCGCAACUGUUUCACCUCGUCGAAGCCUUGGCGAAGACGGGUUAUAGUCAGAAAACUAACUUUAUU
Molecule: non-coding RNA, 112 nt
Filed under: Candidatus Microgenomatota
Lineage: Bacteria
Source: RNAcentral